GAAAAAAUGGGAAACCUGAAGGCAAAAGAGGGGAGAGGGAAUUCUCACCGUUAGCGGGAAAUGGGUAGAGGAGGGGGAGGAACCCCCAAUGGGGAAGGCGACUCUCUGCUCCGUAACGGUCGCUGAGGAGCGAAAGCGGGGGGAAGGAACAGGAUUAGAUACCCGGUUAGUCCACGCCUAAACGAUGAGUCCUAACUGUUAGGGGGGUUUCCGCCCCUUAUGCCGCAGCAAAACGCACUAAGCACUCCGCCCCGGGAGUACGGUCGCAAGGGGGAAAACUCAAAAGAAUUUGACGGGGGCCCCGCCCAAGCGGGUGGAGCACCAAUUUUUAUUUGGAAGCAACGCGAAAAACCUUACCCAGUUCGGGACAUCGUUGACAAUCCUAGAGAUAGGCUUUUCCUUCGGGGACAGAGUGACAGGUUUGCCUGGUUGUCGUCAUCUUGGUCAUGAGAUCUUUGGUUAAGUACCGCAACGAUCGCAACCG
RNAcentral lists this ribosomal RNA (484 nucleotides) under Bacillus pumilus. RNAcentral describes it as "partial 16S ribosomal RNA". It matches the Rfam family "Bacterial small subunit ribosomal RNA", at positions 627 to 1104 of the family's 1533-position model. Lineage: Bacteria; Bacillati; Bacillota; Bacilli; Caryophanales; Bacillaceae. The record is from RNAcentral.